Molecule: long non-coding RNA, 2391 nt
Organism: Lolium perenne
Lineage: Eukaryota; Viridiplantae; Streptophyta; Magnoliopsida; Poales; Poaceae
Source: RefSeq, a predicted model, not a curated record
AAGCGCAUCGCUGCAUUUAAGGAGAGACGUUUCUCGUGUCACGCAAGAGUGUGCUCCACCAACAGCCAGCCAUCCUUAUCCUCCUCGUGGAACUCCUUUGGCCGCACACAAGUUCACAUACUCUCCCUCUCCUGAUAAAAUAGCCAUGGAAUAGCAGUGCCUCGCCGAAGAUGUUCAGGAGCGUUGUGCCGGAGAUGCACGCGAGGAGAGGCCGGCACCGACUAUGCAUCGGAGAGGGCGCCGCCAACAAGCGCUAAGAGGCGGCGUCCAUGGGGUAGAGUCGGAAGGGCGCGGCGCGCGAGAAGAGGCGGCGAUGGGCUACCGCCGGGAGGCCGCGGCGCGCGAGAAUCCCUGGUCGGACGAGCGCGGCCUCUGCCUCAUCCUCCCCCUCCUCAACUGCGCCAUCGCUGCCGCCGUCGGGCACCUGCUCGAGCCCAUCGCGUAGCUUGCGUUCCCCGCCAGCGAACUGAGGGCUUUGUGACAGAUUUUUCCUCUACUUGUUUAUCUCGAUCUGUCACACUCUUAAAUUUUUGGAAUGACACUAGAGGGUUCCCUUUUUGAUGCUAAGCAUUAGGAGUUUAUGACAAGAAGAUGACUGAGUCGAUGUAAGUUUUUCUCUACCAAUACUUUUAGCUUAGCCUUUAGAGGCUCUCUGAAGCUCUAUGUCUUGCUCUGUAUAUUUAAUUUUGUGUACUAUGAAUGAAUAAGUGUAUAAGAGUUUUGAUGAAACGAGCUCCAACUUGAAGUGAGCCUCCAUAGAGGCAUCAACACUUAUCACAUGAGACUUCUGAGAGCAUUACCUAUUCCUUUAUAUUACUUAAUAAUUUUUUAUCACGUGUAUCUUAGAAAUACCAAUACUUGUAUCAACCAAUUGUUUGUUGGAGGAGAAUUUUCAAUGGAGUUCGCAAACAAGCUCUGCAGUGAAAAUGAUGAAGUUCCGAAAGCUAAGGAAGAGAAGCAUGCUUCCCCAGAAGGAUCUCUCAUAAUCCGCAGCUGUAUAGACGAUAUUUUAAUGUAUUAUGUGUUUACCCAAAAAGUGUUUGAAGCUGUUUGUUCAGCAAGUUAUUUUUAGCUUUUUGUGACGUAAAUUGUAUUCAGCAUUUUCCAGUAAGGACAUGAGUUGCCGUUUCUCCUUUGUCAAUUAACCAUAGUUAGCAUCUCAAAUCCCAUUAGAAAAUUUAAUGCUUUCAAAGGGUGCAAUUUUAGAGUAUGUAGCUGUUUGGGGGAGCAGUUUCCUAGCUUGAGGAGCAGCAAACACACCAUCUUAGUCUCCCUCUCUCUAUAUAUAGUUUUUCUCUUACGCUAGAAAAUGAUCUAGGCCAUGGACUAAGGAAAAAGGGGUCCAAUCUUUUGUACUAUGAGGUAAAUUCUUUCUUUUAAGUUGGCAUACGAUAUGUAUUGUGUCUGAUGUUAGAAAUUUCUUUUGUGUUCAUAAGGAUAAGCUUGCUUAUUUUUUCAGAAAACUGGUAUUUUUGCGAAACAAUAAAAUACAAGAUGACAUCAAAUCAACAAGGAGCCUACUCCUAAAGCAUGUCAACUUACAAGUGCACUCCUUCCGAACUGGAGUACGAUGCCCUUCGAGCAGGCAACUGACUUGGCAAGGCAGUCAAGCAUAUUGAAAAGGCCGUUGAGCUCAGUCUUUCGGACAGAGUGAACAACCUAGAUGUGCGUGCAAGCAGUGGAAGGAACUCAAAUCUGGCCAUAGCAUUCGAGGAGGUACUAUCUUUUUUUAGAGGAACACUCUUGCAUUCUAUUACCUUGACAUCCUGGAUAAUAACUAGCACACAAGUUUAACAACCGGCCCAAGAUGGUGAAACCAAACACAUCGCUUACCAUCCCCUAAUAGAGCACCUCGUACAACAAUUUUGUGAGCUAUAUUGUUACAUAACAAGAUCUUGGACACACCUUUAACUAUUGCUUGUCAAAAGCAACACUCAGAUUAGCUUUGAUUUCUCUAAAGAGGACACCAUUACUCACUCUUUGGAGGAAUAUCCAGGACAACAUUAUUGCAUCGCAUUGCCGCCAAACAGUGUGGAGCAUUCAGAAGGGCUUUAGCUCCAACUAUGUACUGUUGUAGUCUUUACUCUUCAUCUCUUUUCCUGAAGUGCCAUAAAAAUGUUGCAUGUUUGGACAAGGAAAAAACUAGAGGUGGUUCUCUCUUUCACUUAAUAGCAAAGCCGCUCCAAGACGCCCCAAAGUCUCAACUGGAUAAUGUAAACUAUCCCGCCAUUCCGAGCAAUAUCGUGGUAUUCUUGGUUUUGAACAUUUUUGUAUAUACAUGAUGCAUCAGUGUGGUCCAUUUGAAUUGGCGGUUGUCAAGUUAGAGUAUUUACCAAUUAGAACUACAUAUGAUUAUUUUAUCAUCACUUAUAUAGCAGUUUCGGAAAUUUA